This 235-nucleotide unclassified non-coding RNA is filed under the name Hevea brasiliensis (rubber tree). The record is from RNAcentral. Lineage: Eukaryota; Viridiplantae; Streptophyta; Magnoliopsida; Malpighiales; Euphorbiaceae.
CGCCGCACACAUGCUCUUCACUUCCAAACUCUUCAGUCUCCUUUACUUUCCCUCACUUUCUCCCUCCAAAUCCUCGCUUCCCCUCAUCGGUUUCUCCGACAGCGCGUCAAAACGGCCCCGUUCUGCUCGCUCUUGACCCUGUCGUUCCAGAUCGCGAGGUAUGUGCCGUUGGUUGUUAUCAAUUUGCUCGCUGUGAGGUCUAACUAUUGGUUAUGGAUGCUGUGGAGUUGAAUUA